RNAcentral lists this ribosomal RNA (394 nucleotides) under uncultured bacterium. RNAcentral describes it as "bacterial SSU rRNA". It matches the Rfam family "Bacterial small subunit ribosomal RNA", at positions 28 to 422 of the family's 1533-position model. The record is from RNAcentral.
GACGAACGCUGGCGGCGUGCUUAACACAUGCAAGUCGAGCGGUAAGGCCCUUUCGGGGGUACACGAGCGGCGAACGGGUGAGUAACACGUGGGUGACCUGCCCUCAGCUCUGGGAUAAGCCUGGGAAACCGGGUCUAAUACCGGAUAUGACUCCAUGACGCAUGUUGUGGGGUGGAAAGCCUUGUGCGGCUGAGGAUGGGCCCGUGGCCUAUCAGCUUGUUGGUGGGGUGAUGGCCUACCAAGGCGACGACGGGUAGCCGGCCUGAGAGGGCGACCGGCCACACUGGGACUGAGACACGGCCCAGACUCCUACGGGAGGGCAGCAGUGGGGAAUCUUGCGCAAUGGGCGAAAGCCUGACGCAGCGACGCCGCGUGAGGGAUGACGGCCUCGUGU